RNAcentral lists this long non-coding RNA (392 nucleotides) under Fukomys damarensis (Damara mole-rat). RNAcentral's name for it is "lncRNA (ENSFDAG00000024891.1)". Lineage: Eukaryota; Metazoa; Chordata; Mammalia; Rodentia; Bathyergidae. The record is from RNAcentral.
CAGACUUAGUGGUGGGUUCAGCUGUUCCCCGCAGCCAUGUUCACAUGUUUCCACAUGACAUGGUGGGUUAUCCUCCUUUCCUUAUUUACCAGCCACUAGAAAUCAAAGUUAAAGUCAAACAGACUCAGAGAAAAGAAAGAGUAGAGGAGAAAAGGAUAAUCACCUCUGAGCAGCAUGGACUGGGGAACAAGGGGCCAUAAAGGUCAUUGUACUGAGCUCCAGAGGAUAGAACAGAAGUGAACAACAGAAAAAGGCCUCUCUCAGGCUCCAUGAUGAACAUUGAAGCCCACUGGAAAAGUGAAGAGAAUCUCUGUAAUAAAGGCACACUAGACCACCGUGGUUGGUAAGUUGGAGGGAUCACCACUCCUGAGGGGAAGGGCAGCUGAAACCUG